RNAcentral lists this ribosomal RNA (2323 nucleotides) under Salmonella enterica. RNAcentral describes it as "partial 23S ribosomal RNA". It matches the Rfam family "Bacterial large subunit ribosomal RNA", at positions 711 to 2925 of the family's 2925-position model. Lineage: Bacteria; Pseudomonadati; Pseudomonadota; Gammaproteobacteria; Enterobacterales; Enterobacteriaceae. RNAcentral also lists the same sequence under 1 other name. The record is from RNAcentral.
AGACCCGAAACCCGGUGAUCUAGCCAUGGGCAGGUUGAAGGUUGGGUAACACUAACUGGAGGACCGAACCGACUAAUGUUGAAAAAUUAGCGGAUGACCUGUGGCUGGGGGUGAAAGGCCAAUCAAACCGGGAGAUAGCUGGUUCUCCCCGAAAGCUAUUUAGGUAGCGCCUCGUGAAUUCAUCUCCGGGGGUAGAGCACUGUUUCGGCUAGGGGGCCAUCCCGGCUUACCAACCCGAUGCAAACUGCGAAUACCGGAGAAUGUUAUCACGGGAGACACACGGCGGGUGCUAACGUCCGUCGUGAAGAGGGAAACAACCCAGACCGCCAGCUAAGGUCCCAAAGUCAUGGUUAAGUGGGAAACGAUGUGGGAAGGCCCAGACAGCCAGGAUGUUGGCUUAGAAGCAGCCAUCAUUUAAAGAAAGCGUAAUAGCUCACUGGUCGAGUCGGCCUGCGCGGAAGAUGUAACGGGGCUAAACCAUGCACCGAAGCUGCGGCAGCGAACGUAUCACCCAAGACAACUUUACGGAGUUGACGAUUGACGGAGCGAAGCGACGUCAAAGCGUUCAUUAAAGUCGAGUUGGCUUAGGGAUACGUUCGUUGGGUAGGGGAGCGUUCUGUAAGCCUGUGAAGGUGUGUCGUGAGGCAUGCUGGAGGUAUCAGAAGUGCGAAUGCUGACAUAAGUAACGAUAAAGCGGGUGAAAAGCCCGCUCGCCGGAAGACCAAGGGUUCCUGUCCAACGUUAAUCGGGGCAGGGUGAGUCGACCCCUAAGGCGAGGCCGAAAGGCGUAGUCGAUGGGAAACGGGUUAAUAUUCCCGUACUUGGUGUUACUGCGAAGGGGGGACGGAGAAGGCUAUGUUGGCCGGGCGACGGUUGUCCCGGUUUAAGCGUGUAGGUGUGUGUUCCAGGUAAAUCCGGUUCACUUUAACACUGAGGCGUGAUGACGAGGCACUACGGUGCUGAAGCAACAAAUGCCCUGCUUCCAGGAAAAGCCUCUAAGCAUCAGGUAACAUCAAAUCGUACCCCAAACCGACACAGGUGGUCAGGUAGAGAAUACCAAGGCGCUUGAGAGAACUCGGGUGAAGGAACUAGGCAAAAUGGUGCCGUAACUUCGGGAGAAGGCACGCUGACACGUAGGUGAAGUGAUUUACUCAUGGAGCUGAAGUCAGUCGAAGAUACCAGCUGGCUGCAACUGUUUAUUAAAAACACAGCACUGUGCAAACACGAAAGUGGACGUAUACGGUGUGACGCCUGCCCGGUGCCGGAAGGUUAAUUGAUGGGGUCAGCGUAAGCGAAGCUCCUGAUCGAAGCCCCGGUAAACGGCGGCCGUAACUAUAACGGUCCUAAGGUAGCGAAAUUCCUUGUCGGGUAAGUUCCGACCUGCACGAAUGGCGUAAUGAUGGCCAGGCUGUCUCCACCCGAGACUCAGUGAAAUUGAACUCGCUGUGAAGAUGCAGUGUACCCGCGGCAAGACGGAAAGACCCCGUGAACCUUUACUAUAGCUUGACACUGAACAUUGAGCCUUGAUGUGUAGGAUAGGUGGGAGGCUUUGAAGUGUGGACGCCAGUCUGCAUGGAGCCGACCUUGAAAUACCACCCUUUAAUGUUUGAUGUUCUAACGUGGACCCGUAAUCCGGGUUGCGGACAGUGUCUGGUGGGUAGUUUGACUGGGGCGGUCUCCUCCUAAAGAGUAACGGAGGAGCACGAAGGUUGGCUAAUCCUGGUCGGACAUCAGGAGGUUAGUGCAAUGGCAUAAGCCAGCUUGACUGCGAGCGUGACGGCGCGAGCAGGUGCGAAAGCAGGUCAUAGUGAUCCGGUGGUUCUGAAUGGAAGGGCCAUCGCUCAACGGAUAAAAGGUACUCCGGGGAUAACAGGCUGAUACCGCCCAAGAGUUCAUAUCGACGGCGGUGUUUGGCACCUCGAUGUCGGCUCAUCACAUCCUGGGGCUGAAGUAGGUCCCAAGGGUAUGGCUGUUCGCCAUUUAAAGUGGUACGCGAGCUGGGUUUAGAACGUCGUGAGACAGUUCGGUCCCUAUCUGCCGUGGGCGCUGGAGAACUGAGGGGGGCUGCUCCUAGUACGAGAGGACCGGAGUGGACGCAUCACUGGUGUUCGGGUUGUCAUGCCAAUGGCACUGCCCGGUAGCUAAAUGCGGAAGAGAUAAGUGCUGAAAGCAUCUAAGCACGAAACUUGCCCCGAGAUGAGUUCUCCCUGAGACUUAGAGUCUCCUGAAGGAACGUUGAAGACGACGACGUUGAUAGGCCGGGUGUGUAAGCGCAGCGAUGCGUUGAGCUAACCGGUACUAAUGAACCGUGAGGCUUAACCUU